AGUAAAUCAGGUUCCCAGCCCUCUUCUUCUCCUUCAAUCGUGUCACCAUGGAAAUGGAGGUCAACCAUCAAAUUCUCCAUGUGUCUCUACAACAAUCAAUUACCUUGCUAAAUCAUCAAACCUACUUGUAAACCGGUCAAUCUAAAACUAGAGUAGCCUCUCUUAAUCAGCAAUUUCCAUUCUCCAUUUCUUCCAUUUGUCAACACAAUUAAGCUGAGUUGGUGAAACCAGAGAACACCAUAGCCCCUAUAAAUAGAGGCCCAUUCAUCACAAAAGAGAUACAAAAUCAGAUUACCUUCAAAUCCAAUUAAAAUUAUAAGUUCUUAAUCUUGUUCGAACAACCGAGACCAUCGUCGGAAACCACCGCGAGCGACCAUCACCUGCAUUGCCUCCGGCAUUCUGCUACCACCCACCUUCGCCUAGUAAGCCGGCCACCUCGUGUGUGCGGGUCCUGACCAGAAGCCAUACACCCAGCUAGCAGCCGAUCUUUUCUGUGUUCUUCGGCUCCUCCAUUCUUCGGUUUUGCAAACAAUCUCGACCCUCGGAGCUCAGGAAGGACGGUAAUCAAGGUUAGAGAAAAAGCCUAGUCAAUCACGAAUUUGAGGUGCCGACCGGGACGGCGGAUGCGAUUAGUGGCAAGGAUUUCGUCUUAUUAAAGCUCACCUAGUUUAAGCUUAAUUUGUACUAAGUUCAAGUAAGAAUUUUCUACUAAGUUAUGUAAGCCACUUUUGAAUAUUAAUAUAAAACAUAGUUAUAUUAGUUUAAUAAAAGUAUUAUGAGGAUAAUAGCCUUGUAAUUCCCAAGAGGGAGUUACGGCGGUAAUGUCCCAACCAAAUUAGGGUAAUUCCGCUGCUUAAUUACUUGAGUUAGAGGUCGGGGCGUUACACCAACACUCUUCCUUUAUGGAAUAUUGUUUUGGCCCAUUCGAAGUUUAUUCUAAUUAAAUUGUGAGUCAAGAGUCGAGUCAAGUGUCGAGUCUUGUAUUCAUGAUUUGUUUGAUAUUAUUAAAUGGCUUUUGCACGUUG
Molecule: long non-coding RNA, 1025 nt
Organism: Spinacia oleracea (spinach)
Lineage: Eukaryota; Viridiplantae; Streptophyta; Magnoliopsida; Caryophyllales; Amaranthaceae
Exons: 3
Source: RefSeq, a predicted model, not a curated record